Long non-coding RNA from Oncorhynchus masou masou (cherry salmon), 1959 nucleotides. RefSeq lists it as uncharacterized. The record is from RefSeq and is a predicted model, not a curated record. NCBI's taxonomy places the organism in Eukaryota, Metazoa, Chordata, Actinopteri, Salmoniformes, Salmonidae. The transcript is spliced from 4 exons.
GCAUGCACCCUGACGCCCCUGACUGACUGAGUGACCACAGUUUAUCUGCCUGGCUGUGAGAGCGGAGGAGGGGAGUCCUCCUCACUGACUACCCCAUCCAGAGUGACCAUAUCAGGGUAGGAAUAGAGUACAAUGCAGCAAGCCAAAGCGGAAAGUUGGUGACAACAAUCUUGUUCUGCACAGACAGACAGGAAAGUAGAUCAGAGUAGUCUUCAGAUGGAACCUGGAUCUGCAGUAGUUACUGAGGAAAGCCAAUCAAAAACACGCUUUCACAAUGAAUAUGAAUCUAUCAAUUUCAAUACUGGACAGAGAGAGAGAGAGAAAGCCUGCAGCUGAGUAAACAGCAGCAGGGCCGGCCCGUGGUUGAGUGGACAGGUACCCAAGCCUCCUCCCUAGCCUCCCAACCUCCCCCCAGCUCUCAGCCCCCUCCGAGGCUCCCCCGAGCCUCCUCCAAGCCUCACCCAGGCUCCUCAGCCCAAAAACCAUUAGGUGUGUUUCCUUGGAGAGAGGGUCAGAGUGGAGGAUGACAAAUUAAUGUGUGUAAUUCAGCUGUUCCCCUUUUACUGUUCUACAUCAAUUAGCAGAAGAGGCAAUUAAGAUUAAGUGCCGUGUCGUACGCAUAACUGCAUUAAAUAUGCUGUUAAUAUGUCCAUUGUUGUAAUUUCCGAAAUAGGAGAACAUAAAUUGUGAACCAGGUAAAUUACUCAAAUGGCUUCUCUCCCAUUCAUUCAUAUUAUAGUUUCAGUAGCAUCACAGCUCUAAUGUGUGAGGAGUUCACUGAAAGUGCUAGCAGUCUACACAUGUUGAUUUUCGAGCUAAUUAGUUAUGGAAAAAUAUGGCACAUAAACCUGGGUGCUCUGUUAGAGGCAUAAUCAGACUGGGUUCCAGCUGUGCCUGUAACUCCUGAGAUUGAUCCACAAGGCUUUAAAGCAGCAGCAUCCAAUAUAUAGAAUACACUGAUUUACUACUGAAUCCACAACUGUAAAGCCACACCACUGCCUCGUGCUCCCCAUAGUUACAGUAGAGGUUGGUUAAAACUCCAGUAGGCAACCAGAGUCUCUCAGUGUACUAAAGAUAUUUAGAGAGAAUGAUUAGGAGAUUCCUCUGUAGGCAGCUCUCCUCUGUAGACCCUCAACCCACAGUUAUUAGACCUUGAGGAUAAUUAGCUAAAGGAUAGUUCUCCAUGCUUUACUGUGGCUCCGAGCAGACAACAUCAAAGGCUGGUAUGAAGACCACUAACUAGACCAGCGGGCUGGAGAGAAAUGUUGGGAAAAUGAAACAAAUCAAUGUUGAGAGGAACUGGGGGAAUUAUGUAAAUAUCUAUAUUCAUCAUGGGGGAAUUGUCUUAGUCUGCUUUCAUUUUCUCUCAGUCAUGUCCAAAAAGGAGCAAGAUUAGGUCACCUUUGAGAUUUGAAAAGAUAUUUAAGCACAGAUCAAACGAUACAAGGAUUACUGACUCAAUACAAAUGGCGCUUUUUACGACGUUGUAAUUGGGAAAGAUGUAAGAGAUAUUGCAUGUGUUAAUUCAGACUACUGCUGCUGAUGUACGACUUUUACUCUCCCAAACAUGACAACUGUGAAAAGGUAGCUCGCUAUCAUAGCUAACUGAAGCAGACAACAAAUGACACCAUACUGAAGAGCCUAAAGCACUUGCACCUAAAACGUCUUCAGUGUCAAAACACAUGAAUGCAUGCCUCAGAAAUCUCCUGUGUCUAUGUAAUGAGAAAGCACAACAUUUUCUCAGCCAUAUGUUCAUUGUCUCACCUUUGCUAAAUAUACUUAAAGCAUUUAUGCCCAUUAAUAAGGUGUGAGAGACUUCUGAGGGCAGAUUGCAUACAGUAGAAUGUCAAGGUGGUAAAUACAACAUCAGUAGUCAAGUAUUUGUUUUCCUCAUAGACUACAGCACCUAUUUAAAUGCAUCUUUCUUUCCCCUGAUUAUAUUGAUGUCAUUGUUCUUUU